UAAUAGGUUUUUUUAAAAACCACUUAUUAUGAUUAAAACAAUAACU
Non-coding RNA from Callithrix jacchus (white-tufted-ear marmoset), 46 nucleotides. The record is from Rfam. Lineage: Eukaryota; Metazoa; Chordata; Mammalia; Primates; Cebidae.